CAUCAUUGUAAUCUUAAGUACAUCAUGUAGCACACAGAAAAAAGGGAAAAGAUAUUUGAUGUCAUAAAAACAUUACCAAAAUUGUGAAAAAUAUAAAAUCGUAGCAAGGUGGGAUGCUAAAGGAAAAUUUUUCAUUUCAUAUAUUGUGCUCGUGCAGGCAGGCAACUCAAAAGUAUUAUGACUACCACUGAAUGGAGCACAUUUUAGACAUAAGCAAUUGUCUAGUCAUGGAAACUGAAACACAAGUACAAUCCGAGAUCUAGAGCCAAAAAGAAAUGAAUAUGUAAAAGAACUACGAUUUUACAAUUGCAAAUGCAGUGUUUUGAAAUUAGCGGCAUAUUUACCAAAAGCAUACAAUCAUAUCUGAGGACAUUAAUAAGGUCAUACCCACCACCUGCACCGCCCACGAUCAAUUUCACUGCCAGUAUGCUACAACAGUGUCAAAGUCAUCAUCAAACAUAUAAUAGCAACUUAACUUCUGAUUUAUUCUCACGCUAUAGCCCCAACCUAAUUUGAUUAUAUAGAAUCCCAAGUACCUAAGUUAGCAGCUAUUUUAUUUGCUUCAGAAAUAAAAUACUAACGAAUACAUAUGAGUUUCUUGGUCGUAUCACUUUUCAGUAAAGAAUAUCUUUUAUACAGGUUCCUAACCAGCGCGUGUUAUCAAUCAUGCCAUUAAGUUGUUACGAAAAGUAGAAAGGAAAGAAAGAUUUUUUUUGAAAGUUGAGCAAUUUGAUUGAGUUGAUAAGAGAUCAAUUAUUUGUAUAGUUAAUAUUCAUUAUACCCGGUCACCUUACGCAACACAAACCAAACACACAGGGAAAAAUAGUAAUUUAUUUUUAAAGUUUUUUUGCCCAGCGUCUUCAAUUAUUUUUCAUCCUCUUCACCAAACUACCAAAUCUACUUACCCUUCUCUCCAUCUUCAUCCAUCCCCCCACCAAAAAGGGCCUCAAAGUAAAAUUAAAAAUACCAUUCUCAUCAUAAGUCUAUUUUUUCUAAUAUGCAUCUACAAUGCAUUGAAACCUACAACCUAAUUUUGGACUUUACCACCAAUUUUGGACUUUACCACCAAUUCAUGGGUCAAGCCAUU
RNAcentral lists this small RNA (1087 nucleotides) under Vigna angularis var. angularis. RNAcentral describes it as "Non-protein coding transcript". The record is from RNAcentral. Lineage: Eukaryota; Viridiplantae; Streptophyta; Magnoliopsida; Fabales; Fabaceae.